RNAcentral lists this ribosomal RNA (468 nucleotides) under uncultured bacterium. RNAcentral describes it as "partial 16S ribosomal RNA". It matches the Rfam family "Bacterial small subunit ribosomal RNA", at positions 28 to 507 of the family's 1533-position model. The record is from RNAcentral.
GACGAACGCUGGCGGCGUGCUUAACACAUGCAAGUCGAACGGAAAGGCCCUGCUUUUAUGGUGGGCUCGUGUCGCGCGCGUGUGUGUUACACGUGUGACCUCCCUUCUUCUCUUUGUUAAGCCUUCAGAACUCUGUGUCUUAUCCCAGAUAAUCGAUCCUUCUGCAUGGUGGUGGUUGGAAGCUUUCGGGGGUGGUGGAUGGUCUCCCGGCUUCCCAGCUUGUUGGUGGGGUAGUGACUUACCAAGGCUUCGACGGGUAGCCGGCCUGAGAGGGUGACCGGCCACACUGGGACUGAGAGACGGCCCAGACUCCUACGGGAGGCAGCAGUGGGGAAUAUUGCACAAUGGGCGGAAGCCUGAUGCAGCAACGCCGCGUGAGGGAUGACGGCCUUCGGGUUGUAAACCGCUGUCAGCAGUGAAGAAGCGAAAGUGACGGUAAGGGCUAAAGAAGCACCGGCUAACUACGUG